Long non-coding RNA from Leptinotarsa decemlineata (Colorado potato beetle), 248 nucleotides. The record is from RefSeq and is a predicted model, not a curated record. NCBI's taxonomy places the organism in Eukaryota, Metazoa, Arthropoda, Insecta, Coleoptera, Chrysomelidae.
GCUGUGGGUCAAUGGUCUCUUUCUAAUGGAACCAUUCCCACAAUUUCAUGAAAUUAUAUAAAUUCAAAUUUUUGUUUACCUUCAAACAUCAAAUUGUACAUAAAUAAUAAAAAUUCAACUCUACUUACAAAGGCUACCUAAAUAAGUGCAAUGGGAUUUUUAACGGUGUUGAAGAAAAUGAAACAAAAAGAGAAGGAAAUGAGAAUUCUCAUAUUAGGAUUGGAUAAUGCUGGUAAAACAACAAUAAU